RNAcentral lists this transfer RNA (72 nucleotides) under Paramuricea clavata. It matches the Rfam family "tRNA". From Rfam's summary of the family: Transfer RNA (tRNA) molecules are approximately 80 nucleotides in length. Lineage: Eukaryota; Metazoa; Cnidaria; Anthozoa; Malacalcyonacea; Plexauridae. The record is from Rfam by way of RNAcentral.
GACCGCGUAGCUCAGUUGGAAGAGCAUUGGGCUAGUAUUCCAAAGGUCGUAGGUUCGAAUCCUACCGUGGCA